RNAcentral lists this ribosomal RNA (466 nucleotides) under uncultured bacterium. RNAcentral describes it as "partial 16S ribosomal RNA". It matches the Rfam family "Bacterial small subunit ribosomal RNA", at positions 28 to 507 of the family's 1533-position model. The record is from RNAcentral.
GAUGAACGCUGGCGGCGUGCUUAACACAUGCAAGUCGAACGAUGAAGCCCAGCUUGCUGGGUGGAUUAGUGGCGAACGGGUGAGUAACACGUGAGUAACCUGCCCUUGACUCUGGGAUAAGCCCGGGAAACUGGGUCUAAUACCGGAUAGGAGCGCCUGUCGCAUGACGGGUGUUGGAAAGAUUUUUCGGUCAUGGAUGGACUCGCGGCCUAUCAGCUUGUUGGUGAGGUAAUGGCUCACCAAGGCGACGACGGGUAGCCGGCCUGAGAGGGUGACCGGCCACACUGGGACUGAGACACGGCCCAGACUCCUACGGGAGGCAGCAGUGGGGAAUAUUGCACAAUGGGCGGAAGCCUGAUGCAGCGACGCCGCGUGAGGGAUGACGGCCUUCAGGUUGUAAACCUCUUUCAGUAGGGAAGAAGCGAAAGUGACGGUACCUGCAGAAGAAGCACCGGCUAACUACGUG